Molecule: non-coding RNA, 1205 nt
Organism: Hydra vulgaris (swiftwater hydra)
Lineage: Eukaryota; Metazoa; Cnidaria; Hydrozoa; Anthoathecata; Hydridae
Source: RefSeq, a predicted model, not a curated record
AGUGAUAUGAUGUUAAGACAAUGCUCUCAGUGGUACUAAACGCAAGUAUGGUACUUACAUUAUUACCAAAACACGGCAAUUCUUUUUUGAUUGGUUUUCUCCCACUUGCUAUGAUUACGAAACUUUCGAAUACGGAUGUAACGAAAACAGUUUAUUUUAUAUUUACGCGCCAAUUUUCUCCGAAUAACCAAAUUAAAUAACUUGUGGAUAGACUCCAUCCAUGAUGCAUCUUAUGAUCUAAAAAUUCACACAAAGCUUCAUAGUGCGUAUAUCUAAAAUUCCAGUUUACAACAUAUACCUUCUGAUGACUGAUGUCGUAAAUAUAUACGUAUUUCAUUAAAAAAAAGUGAUUUUUAUAUUUAUUUUGCUUAAAACUACUAUUUAUAGGUACGCGGAAAUCCGUGUUUUACGGUACCGAAUUUUGUACUAAAAUUUUGUGCCAGGUUUUUUGAACUUUUUUUUAGGUAUCGUCAGGCGAACGUUUUUUUGUGGCGUUUCUGUUAAGAAACAUUACUAAACUUAGAUUAUUUUUGAAAAAAAGAAUAGUUAAACUUGAUUAAUAUAUAACAUUUAUGUGUGGUUGGUAAUUUUUGUAUUGCUUUUAUUUGUAUUAAAAACUUGGUUGUUGUUCUCACAUUAAAUUAUUGUCAAAGAAAUGCUCAGAUAGUUUGCAAACCUACCCAGAUAGUUUUUUACAUAUAUUUUUUAUCUACCUACCAAAUUUCAUUGAAAAAUAUUAUUGAGCAGAUAGUCUAUAAAAGUGAGCAGUUUUGGUACCUCAUUUCUGUUUUUCUGAUUUCCGUAAGUGGGUGGUAAGAGGGGUACGAACAAGUUUAAUUUUAUUUGUGUGACUUGUUUAUAGUUUCUAAAAUUUUAUUGGUUUCAUUGAAAUUGAAAACAUAAGCGUUGAUUACUAUAAUUCUAGCUAUAGGUUGUGGGUAACCAUUACCACUCUAUUUAACAAACUUCUCAACUUAACCAAAAUUUACGAAUAGCAGCGAAAAGACUUUUUUUUCAAAAGUAGGCUCGGUUGUGGUCUUUAUCUUUAGCUUGUAGAUUAUACUUGGUGCAAAAAGCCUAAUUCAGGUUUUAAAUUGUUAACUUAUUUUAAAUUGUUAACUCAUUGUCAGGUUUUAAAUUGUUAACUCAUUUUAAAAUAAUUAUAGUUGUUAUUAUAAAGAUUGAUUUAUUUUACUUAUUUAUUU